This 446-nucleotide ribosomal RNA is filed under the name uncultured bacterium. Its description in RNAcentral is "partial 16S ribosomal RNA". It matches the Rfam family "Bacterial small subunit ribosomal RNA", at positions 338 to 795 of the family's 1533-position model. The record is from RNAcentral.
CCUACGGGUGGCAGCAGUCGAGAAUCAUUCACAAUGGGGGAAACCCUGAUGGUGCGACGCCGCGUGGGGGAAUGAAGGUCUUCGGAUUGUAAACCCCUGUCAUGUGGGAGCAAAUUAAAAAGAUAGUACCACAAGAGGAAGAGACGGCUAACUCUGUGCCAGCAGCCGCGGUAAUACAGAGGUCUCAAGCGUUGUUCGGAAUCACUGGGCGUAAAGCGUGCGUAGGCUGUUUCGUAAGUCGUGUGUGAAAGGCGCGGGCUCAACCCGCGGAAGGCACAUGAUACUGCGAGACUAGAGUAAGGGAGGGGGAACCGGAAUUCUCGGUGUAGCAGUGAAAUGCGUAGAUAUCGAGAGGAACACUCGUGGCGAAGGCGGGUUCCUGGACAUUAACUGACGCUGAGGCACGAAGGCCAGGGGAGCGAAAGGGAUUAGAUACCCGAGUAGUC